Molecule: ribosomal RNA, 239 nt
Filed under: uncultured bacterium
Lineage: Bacteria
Description: partial 16S ribosomal RNA
Rfam family: Bacterial small subunit ribosomal RNA
Source: RNAcentral
GAUCCUAGCUCAGGAUGAACGCUGGCGGCGUGCCUAACACAUGCAAGUCGAGCGAAGCACUUUGCUUAGAUUCUUCGGAUGAAGAGGAUUGUGACUGAGCGGCGGACGGGUGAGUAACGCGUGGGUAACCUGCCUCAUACAGGGGGAUAACAGUUAGAAAUGACCGCUAAUACCGCAUAAGGCCACAGCACCGCAUGGUGCGGGGGUAAAAACUCCGGUGGUAUGAGAUGGACCCGCGU